CUCCCUGCCCAUAGUAUUUCCCUCUGGGAUGUAAUGAACAGGACAAGGACAGGGAUCAUGGGUCUUUCCUGAGCUACAGGUUCCUUGCCCAAGUAUCUCUGCUCAGACUCCUCAUGUGGAGAGUGACCCACUCCCCCCUCUUCUCCUCUAUUGCAGGUGAUUAAUGGAAUCAUCACGUUUGUUACUACAAUUUUAUUUGGUGCUCCAGGACUCGUCUUCAGGGCAGUGGCCAGAGCACUGCGGAACAAUUAAUAAAUCUAAGGCGUUAUGUUGGCGGCACCAGUUAACUCUGGGGGAUUUGAGCAAGCUGGUUUACAGAUUUCACUCUCUUUUGAAAUCAUCAGCACUUGGUUUAGUAAAGCCGAAUCAAAGCACAGGAAGCCUUUAUCUGAGGGAAGUGCUGCUAGCACAAAUUCUAUUAAAGACGAGAUUGCACAAUAUCAUGGUCUCAAUGUUUGUGUCCCCUCCCACCACAAAUGCACAU
RNAcentral lists this long non-coding RNA (484 nucleotides) under Marmota monax (woodchuck). The record is from RNAcentral. Lineage: Eukaryota; Metazoa; Chordata; Mammalia; Rodentia; Sciuridae.